This is an unclassified non-coding RNA of Pongo abelii (Sumatran orangutan), 118 nucleotides long. It matches the Rfam family "Metazoan signal recognition particle RNA". Rfam says of the family: The signal recognition particle (SRP) is a universally conserved ribonucleoprotein. It is involved in the co-translational targeting of proteins to membranes. The record is from Ensembl. NCBI's taxonomy places the organism in Eukaryota, Metazoa, Chordata, Mammalia, Primates, Hominidae.
GCCAGGCGCGGUGGCUCACGCCUGUAAUCCCAACACUUUGGGAGGCUGAGGUGGGUGGAUCACCUGAGGUCAGGAGUUCAAGACCCAGCCUGGCCAACAUGGUGAAACCCCAUCUCUA